AGGCUGCCCCUUGCCACUGGGAUCCAGACACAGCCUUUGCUCUCAGCCUGAAGUCAGUUCAUCCCUAUUUCUGUUUCUUGCACACAGGCUGCAUCCUCCAUUUUCACAAUUCUCAGUCUACAAAUGAAUCCAGCAGAGCUGACUGGAUGAGAAAAUCGAAGACUACAAUCUCAAUGGAUUUCAGCUGGACUGAAACCCUCUUCAUUUGGGGCACGGAUCAGCAGGGCCUGAAACCUUCUGGGAUCAAAGCAGCAACUACAGCGGCAGUUAAUGCCCAUCAUUUACCUUUGGAAUGGAGGGCCAAAAAAAGGCAAGACAAUGUUCAUGGGAUUAAAAUAUUUUCUACAAA
Molecule: long non-coding RNA, 349 nt
Organism: Melospiza melodia melodia
Lineage: Eukaryota; Metazoa; Chordata; Aves; Passeriformes; Passerellidae
Exons: 2
Source: RefSeq, a predicted model, not a curated record